AUAGCGCUGGCGGAUGCUUACACAUGCAGUCGAACGGCAGCACGGACUUCGGUCUGGUGGCGAGUGGCGAACGGGUGAGUAAUAUAUCGGAACGUGCCAGAUCGUGGGGGAUAACGUAGUGAAAAUUACGCUAUAUACCUGCAUACGAUCUACGGAUGAAAGCGGGGUGAUCGCAAGACCUCGGCGCGAUUUGGAGGCGGCCGAUAUCAGAUUGAUGUAGUUGGUGAGGUAAAGGCUCACCAAGCCAACGAUCUGUAGCUGGUCUGAGAGGACGACCAGCCACACUGGAACUGAGACACGGUCCAGACUCCUACGGGAGGCAGCAGUGGGGAAUUUUGGACAAUGGACGCAAGUCUGAUCCAGCCAUUCCGCGUGCAGGACGAAGGCCUUCGGGUUGUAAACUGCUUUUGUACAGAACGAAAAGGUCUCUAUUAAUACUAGGGGCUCAUUGACGGGUACCCUGUAAAAUAGCGCCUAACUACGUGCCAGCAGCCGCGGUAAUACGUAGGGUGCAAGCGUUAAUCGGAAUUACUGGGCGUAAAGCGUGCGCAGGCGGUUAUAUAGAAAGAUGUGAAAUCCCCCGGGCUCAACCUGGG
This 596-nucleotide ribosomal RNA is filed under the name uncultured beta proteobacterium. Its description in RNAcentral is "bacterial SSU rRNA". It matches the Rfam family "Bacterial small subunit ribosomal RNA", at positions 30 to 618 of the family's 1533-position model. The record is from RNAcentral. Lineage: Bacteria; Pseudomonadati; Pseudomonadota; Betaproteobacteria.